GGCAACUUGGCCGAGUGGUUAAGGCGAAAGAUUAGAAAUCUUUUGGGCUCNNNGUCCUGCAGUUGUCG
Molecule: transfer RNA, 68 nt
Filed under: Zygosaccharomyces bailii CLIB 213
Lineage: Eukaryota; Fungi; Ascomycota; Saccharomycetes; Saccharomycetales; Saccharomycetaceae
Description: tRNA-Ser (AGA) cove score=34.40
Rfam family: tRNA
About the family: Transfer RNA (tRNA) molecules are approximately 80 nucleotides in length. Their secondary structure includes four short double-helical elements and three loops (D, anti-codon, and T loops). Further hydrogen bonds mediate the characteristic L-shaped molecular structure. tRNAs have two regions of fundamental functional importance: the anti-codon, which is responsible for specific mRNA codon recognition, and the 3' end, to which the tRNAs corresponding amino acid is attached (by aminoacyl-tRNA synthetases). tRNAs cope with the degeneracy of the genetic code in two manners: having more than one tRNA (with a specific anti-codon) for a particular amino acid; and 'wobble' base-pairing, i.e. permitting non-standard base-pairing at the 3rd anti-codon position.
Source: RNAcentral